AAAUGUGAGGGCGAUCUGGCUGUGACAUCUGUCACCCCAGUGAUUGCCAUGGUUGAUUCGGCUGAUCUGGCUAGCUAGGAGGGUGUCCCCUUCCUCCCUCACCGCUCCAUGUGCGUCCCUCCCGAAGCUGCGUGCUAGGUCGAAGAGGACAACCAUCCCUGCUGGAGCAGGACUGGUCUUCGGUCAAGGGUAUACGAGUAGCUGCACUCCCCUGCUAAAACCUCCAAACAAGCUCUCAAGGAGACAGGUUUCACCAACCAAGAUCAGUGGAAACUGUAUCUCAUGGAUUUUGAUUUUUUUGU
This 302-nucleotide small nuclear RNA is filed under the name Ochotona princeps (American pika). RNAcentral's name for it is "7SK RNA (ENSOPRG00000020251.1)". It matches the Rfam family "7SK RNA". From Rfam's summary of the family: 7SK was discovered as an abundant small nuclear RNA in the mid-70s but a possible function has only recently been suggested. Two independent studies have found that 7SK RNA binds the CDK9/cyclin T complex (known as elongation factor P-TEFb). The record is from RNAcentral. Lineage: Eukaryota; Metazoa; Chordata; Mammalia; Lagomorpha; Ochotonidae.